This 424-nucleotide ribosomal RNA is filed under the name uncultured bacterium. Its description in RNAcentral is "bacterial SSU rRNA". It matches the Rfam family "Bacterial small subunit ribosomal RNA", at positions 355 to 775 of the family's 1533-position model. The record is from RNAcentral.
UGAGGAAUAUUGGUCAAUGGGCGCAAGCCUGAACCAGCCAUCCCGCGUGCAGGAAGACGGCGCUAUGCGUUGUAAACUGCUUUUCCAGGGGGAGAAACUUGCGCACGUGUUGCGCAAUUGACGGUACCCUGGGAAUAAGCAUCGGCUAACUCCGUGCCAGCAGCCGCGGUAAUACGGAGGAUGCGAGCGUUAUCCGGAUUCAUUGGGUUUAAAGGGUGCGUAGGCGGACUAUUAAGUCAGUGGUGAAAUCCUGCAGCUUAACUGCAGAACUGCCAUUGAUACUGAUAGCCUUGAGUUUGGUUAAGGUAGGCGGAAUGUGUAAUGUAGCGGUGAAAUGCUUAGAUAUUACACAGAACACCAAUUGCGUAGGCAGCUUACUGGCCUGCACCUGACGCUGAAGAGCGAAAGCUAGGGGAGCGAACGG